GAAGAGAUAAGUGCUGAAAGCAUCUAAGCACGAAACUUGCCCCGAGAUGAGUUCUCCCUGACCCUUUAAGGGUCCUGAAGGAACGUUGAAGACGACGACGUUGAUAGGCCGGGUGUGUAAGCGCAGCGAUGCGUUGAGCUAACCGGUACUAAUGAACCGUGAGGCUUAACCUUACAACGCCGAAGGUGUUU
RNAcentral lists this ribosomal RNA (191 nucleotides) under Escherichia coli. RNAcentral describes it as "partial 23S ribosomal RNA". It matches the Rfam family "Bacterial large subunit ribosomal RNA", at positions 2758 to 2925 of the family's 2925-position model. The record is from RNAcentral. Lineage: Bacteria; Pseudomonadati; Pseudomonadota; Gammaproteobacteria; Enterobacterales; Enterobacteriaceae.